Molecule: long non-coding RNA, 350 nt
Organism: Perognathus longimembris pacificus (Pacific pocket mouse)
Lineage: Eukaryota; Metazoa; Chordata; Mammalia; Rodentia; Heteromyidae
Exons: 3
Source: RefSeq, a predicted model, not a curated record
UCAGGUAGGGAGUGUGAGACUGUUCAGCUGAACACGUGCUAUGAGAUGAGAAAAGCCCCCACACAGGAAGAAGGCUGAGGAGGCAUCCCAAAACAUCCCACACGUGCUCUCUUAAGGAUUAAGACGGCCUCAUGAUUAUUCUCUUGCUUAAAUUUUGCUUAAGAAAGUAACGUUAAAAGUUUAGCAUAUUACAGAGAAUCUUACCAAUAUCAUUAACAUCACCCACUGUCUAACUGAGUUUCAUCAUGAUUCUACAGGAUUCAACUGGCUAACUGGUUCCUUUUUCUAAUUAAACAAGUUUCACUUCAGUAGAGGUACUCUUUUUGUUCUAGUUUGUAUAUCCAACAAGA